UACGGAAGGCAGCAGUGGGGAAUAUUGCACAAUGGGCGCAAGCCUGAUGCAGCCAUGCCGCGUGUAUGAAGAAGGCCUUCGGGUUGUAAAGUACUUUCAGUCGUGAGGAAGGUGUUAAGGUUAAUAACCUUAGCAAUUGACGUUAGCGACAGAAGAAGCACCGGCUAACUCCGUGCCAGCAGCCGCGGUAAUACGGAGGGUGCGAGCGUUAAUCGGAAUUACUGGGCGUAAAGGGCACGCAGGCGGUUAAUUAAGUUGGAUGUGAAAUCCCCGGGCUUAACCUGGGAAUGGCAUUCAAGACUGGUUAGCUAGAGUCUUGUAGAGGGGGUAGAAUUCCAUGUGUAGCGGUGAAAUGCGUAGAGGAUGUGGAGGAAUACCGGUGGCGAAGGCGGCCCCUGGACAAAGACUGACGCUCAUGUGCGAAAGCGUGGGGAGCAAAACAGGGAUUAGA
RNAcentral lists this ribosomal RNA (451 nucleotides) under uncultured bacterium. Its description in RNAcentral is "bacterial SSU rRNA". It matches the Rfam family "Bacterial small subunit ribosomal RNA", at positions 340 to 782 of the family's 1533-position model. The record is from RNAcentral.